RNAcentral lists this ribosomal RNA (870 nucleotides) under Cellulomonas sp. VC-CS371. Its description in RNAcentral is "bacterial SSU rRNA". It matches the Rfam family "Bacterial small subunit ribosomal RNA", at positions 55 to 936 of the family's 1533-position model. The record is from RNAcentral. Lineage: Bacteria; Bacillati; Actinomycetota; Actinomycetes; Micrococcales; Cellulomonadaceae.
AUGCAAGUCGAACGGUGACGACCAGCUUGCUGGUCUGAUCAGUGGCGAACGGGUGAGUAACACGUGAGCAACCUGCCCCUGACUCUGGGAUAACGACCGGAAACGGUCGCUAAUACCGGAUAUGAGACGUACAGGCAUCUGUUGCGUCUGGAAAGUUUUUCGGUCAGGGAUGGGCUCGCGGCCUAUCAGCUUGUUGGUGGGGUAACGGCCUACCAAGGCGACGACGGGUAGCCGGCCUGAGAGGGCGACCGGCCACACUGGGACUGAGACACGGCCCAGACUCCUACGGGAGGCAGCAGUGGGGAAUAUUGCACAAUGGGCGCAAGCCUGAUGCAGCGACGCCGCGUGAGGGAUGACGGCCUUCGGGUUGUAAACCUCUUUCAGCAGGGAAGAAGCGCAAGUGACGGUACCUGCAGAAGAAGCGCCGGCUAACUACGUGCCAGCAGCCGCGGUAAUACGUAGGGCGCAAGCGUUGUCCGGAAUUAUUGGGCGUAAAGAGCUCGUAGGCGGUUUGUCGCGUCUGCUGUGAAAACCUCAGGCUCAACCUGGGGCUUGCAGUGGGUACGGGCAGACUAGAGUGCGGUAGGGGUGACUGGAAUUCCUGGUGUAGCGGUGGAAUGCGCAGAUAUCAGGAGGAACACCGAUGGCGAAGGCAGGUCACUGGGCCGCAACUGACGCUGAGGAGCGAAAGCAUGGGGAGCGAACAGGAUUAGAUACCCUGGUAGUCCAUGCCGUAAACGUUGGGCACUAGGUGUGGGGCUCAUUCCACGAGCUCUGUGCCGCAGCAAACGCAUUAAGUGCCCCGCCUGGGGAGUACGGCCGCAAGGCUAAAACUCAAAGAAAUUGACGGGGGCCCGCACAAGCGGCGGA